AGAGUUUGAUCCUGGCUCAGAGUGAACGCUGGCGGCAGGCCUAACACAUGCAAGUCGAACGGCAGCGGGCAGUAGCAAUACUGUGCCGGCGAGUGGCGGACGGGUGAGGAAUACAUCGGAAUCUACCUUGUCGUGGGGGAUAACGUAGGGAAACUUACGCUAAUACCGCAUACGACCUACGGGUGAAAGCGGCGGACCGCAAGGCGUCGCGCGAUUGGAUGAGCCGAUGUCCGAUUAGCUAGUUGGCGGGGUAAAGGCCCACCAAGGCGACGAUCGGUAGCUGGUCUGAGAGGAUGAUCAGCCACACUGGAACUGAGACACGGUCCAGACUCCUACGGGAGGCAGCAGUGGGGAAUAUUGGACAAUGGGGGCAACCCUGAUCCAGCCAUGCCGCGUGUGUGAAGAAGGCCUUCGGGUUGUAAAGCACUUUUGUCCGGAAAGAAAAGCUUCGGGUUAAUACCCCGGGGUCAUGACGGUACCGGAAGAUAAGCACCGGCUAACUUCGUGCCAGCAGCCGCGGUA
Molecule: ribosomal RNA, 522 nt
Filed under: uncultured Pseudomonadota bacterium
Lineage: Bacteria; Pseudomonadati; Pseudomonadota
Description: bacterial SSU rRNA
Rfam family: Bacterial small subunit ribosomal RNA
Source: RNAcentral